RNAcentral lists this ribosomal RNA (653 nucleotides) under uncultured marine eukaryote. RNAcentral's name for it is "bacterial SSU rRNA". It matches the Rfam family "Eukaryotic small subunit ribosomal RNA", at positions 618 to 1110 of the family's 1831-position model. The record is from RNAcentral.
CUGUUAAAAAGCUCGUAGUUGGAUCAAGAGUGCGACAGUGCAAGGUGGCCUCGCUUGCUCACUUGGCUCCGGUCAUGUGUGCGGCGGCGGGUCAACCCCUUGCGCCAAACUGUCGUCUCUAACAGACCGAAGCGGUUCCCUGUGAGUAGGCCACUUAAUUGGGGCUGAAAGCGUUUACGCAUCAACCACAUGCAUACGGGACGUCGGUCAAAGUUACUGUGAACAAACCAGCGUGUCCAAAACAGGCUUUGCCUGAAUGUCCGAGCAUGAAAUGACAAGGGAUCGAUUCUCUCGGUUCUUUUUGUUGGUUUUUAACCCGAGAAGGAGUAAUUCAGGCCAAGGUGUCUGGGCUGGGUUCCCCUUCACUUCGGUGAAGGCCCCAGUUAGGCCUUGUCCUUACGGGAUAAAUAGGGACUGACGGGGUCGUACGUACUUCCACGUCAGAGGUGAAAUUCUUAGAUCGUGGGAAGACGAACUUCUGCGAAAGCAUUCGACAAGAAUGUCUUCAUUAAUCAAGAACGAGAGUGUGGGGAUCGAAGAUGAUCAGAUACCGUCGUAGUCCACUACUGUAAACAAUGCCGUCUCAGGAUUGAGAAGUGAACCUAAUGACUUUCACAGCACUAACCCCUGAAACGAGAAAUCAAAGAUUAUGG